RNAcentral lists this ribosomal RNA (497 nucleotides) under uncultured bacterium. RNAcentral describes it as "partial 16S ribosomal RNA". It matches the Rfam family "Bacterial small subunit ribosomal RNA", at positions 28 to 507 of the family's 1533-position model. The record is from RNAcentral.
GAUGAACGCUGGCGGCGUGCCUAAUACAUGCAAGUCGAGCGAACAGACGAGGAGCUUGCUCCUCUGACGUUAGCGGCGGACGGGUGAGUAACACGUGGAUAACCUACCUAUAAGACUGGGAUAACUUAGGGAAACCGGAGCUAAUACCGGAUAAUAUAUUGAACCGCAUGGUUCAAUAGUGAAAGACGGUUUUGCUGUCACUUAUAGAUUGAUCCGCGCCGCAUUAGCUAGUUGGUAAGGUAACGGCUUACCAAGGAAACGAUGCGUAGCCGACCUGAGAGGGUGAGCGGCCAGACUGGAACUGAGAACCGGUCCAGACGCCUACGGGAAGCAGCAGUAGGGAAUCUUCCGCAAUGGGCGAAAACCUGACGGAGCAACGCCGCGUGAGUGAUGAAGGUCUUCGGAUCGUAAAACUCUGUUAUUAGGGAAGAACAAAUGUGUAAGUAACUAUGCACGUCUUGACGGUACCUAAUCAGAAAGCCACGGCUAACUACGUG